Molecule: ribosomal RNA, 253 nt
Filed under: uncultured bacterium
Lineage: Bacteria
Description: partial 16S ribosomal RNA
Rfam family: Bacterial small subunit ribosomal RNA
Source: RNAcentral
UACGAAGGGGGCUAGCGUUGCUCGGAAUCACUGGGCGUAAAGGGUGCGUAGGCGGGUCUUUAAGUCAGGGGGGAAAUCCUGGAGCUCAACUCCAGAACUGCCUUUGAUACUGAAGAUCUUGAGUCCGGGAGAGGUGAGUGGAACUGCGAGUGUAGAGGUGAAAUUCGUAGAUAUUCGCAAGAACACCAGUGGCGAAGGCGGCUCACUGGCCCGGUACUGACGCUGAGGAGCGAAAGCAUGGGGAGCGAACGGG